ACGGCCAACCCUCUGAGUCCUUCCUUGCUUUGCGCAGGGCCCCGCGGGGGGUGACAUGAAGCUUGGCUCUGUGUUGCAACUUGGUCGGUUGGCGGUUACCUCUAGACAUUAUAGACAACAACUAAAAGGAAGUCUGUGUUUGCAGAGGCCCAAACUUGGAGACCCUUGCAUUAAACCCGUAUCUGUGAACCGAAGGCAGAAGACAGAGGAGAUGGAAGACUCAAGCAGCCCCGGCUCCUCCAGCCUGAGUCCUAGAAGCAGAGACACGUGGAGCCCCCCUCCAAACCUACCACCCGGGGCAGAACUGCUGCAGCCUACCCACACACCCAUGAGCAACGAAUGACAAGGUACUCUUUGCUGCCAGUGCCCAGCUUGGGAGUACUUUUCAACACUGUAUCUGGUAACUCACUAGCAAUCAAUCAGAAAUGGCAGGUAAGAUGAAACUUACUACUUGGCACCCCCCAUCUGGUGUUUAUUUAAAGGAGAGUCAAGGAUGGUGAGGAGUCUAGAAACCACAUUUUAUGGUGAGUAAUUAAGAGCACUGGAGUAACUCAUAAAUACACAUGAUGUUAUAGUGGAAAGAUUCUUAGAAGCCAUCCCACAUCUCCUAUUUGAAGCAAAUUUAUUUAUUUAUUUAUUUAUUUUGGAGAAGUCAUUGAGAAGACAGUAUCAUUCCUAUUCUUCAUUCAUCCUUUCUUUGAUUUCCACUCGGUUGUAUGUAUUUAAUUAUAUAUACAAUAACUACAAAUAUACAUAUGAAGAAUAUAAUGCAGCUUACAAACCAAGGCAAAAAGAUAGAUAUUAUCAGUUCUAUAAUUCUCAUUAGAAGAAAUCGGGAUCUCCUAGUAGAUUGUUUUUAACAACGGCCACAUUAUUCCUUCCUUUUAUUUACUCACUUUUGCAAUGUGACUCUGUAGCUCCUUUUAGCAACAGGUGGGGACUAUUUUCCCACCCCUUCAAUCUGGGCUGGCUUGAGACUUGCUUUGACCAACAUUAUGCAGCAGAUGUGAUGUUGUGCCGUUCUGAGCCUAGGCCUCAAGGGGCCUUGUAAUACUCCCCUCCACAAACCCUGCCCUGCCUCCGAGGCAAGUCAGCCUAGCCUGCGGCAGCACAAGACAACACACAGAACACAACUGAAUAGUGCCGCUCUCAGGGCUUAGGCCUCAGACCUGUGAGACAGCAAGAUCAGAGACCUGACCCAGAUGAGCAGAACUGCUCAGUCUACCAUAGACUCACAGGCAAUGAUAAAUGCUUGUUGUUUUAUCCCCACUGAAUUUUGAGGAGAGUUUGGUUUGUUGUGUGGCAACAGAUCACUGAUGCAGACCUUAUGGAGGAAAGCAAAGCAUCCAGCUACUGAAUUGUAAAAUGGAAUUUCUCGCGUGGUGCAAUACCAUUGCCCUGCCCCCACCACGAAUAUUUUCGUUGGGGUCUCUCAGUCCCCCGCAGUACACUCUGCUGUGUUCUUAGGCACACACCCGGGAAAAACUUACUCCCUCUGUGUUCUGUCUUGAUGGCCUUGGUCUGUUUCAAAAUGGCAGCUACAAAUUUUUCCAAUAUUGUAGCAAUGUUGGUAACUUAUAUCCAAUAGUAGGAAUUACACCUAAUCACUGUAAGCCAUGUUUGCUAAUCUGUUAAUACAACGGGGUUAAAAUUAAGGAUUUCUAAAAUUCUCCGUAGUUCUCUGGAUUUUUUAUAUUCAUAUGCCUAGAAUAUGAACGUUAUGCUUUCGAAGACUAGUUAUUGGAAAAUAUCCACGUAUGAAAUUAAAUUAAAAUGCAGGAAAGAAAACAUUAUCCUAUUACUGUAAGAAUAUAUAGAAAUGUAAAUACAUGGAACACUCAGAAAGGGAAAGAGGGAGGGACGGAGGGAAAAUACUUGAAAAUGUUAGUUUCUGGGUGGUGGGUUGCUAUAUAAUUUUCUUUUUCUUUUUUUUUCCCACAAAUGUCUAUACUGAGCACACUUCAAUUCAGAGUCCAAAUACCCUUGCGAAGACCUGUUGAAGUCCCGUGCUUUCUGCACAGCAGCCCCUGCCUGCCCAGGAUGCGGAACGCUGGGCGGCGCAGGUCGUCGGCUGCUUUGAAACGGUUCCAAAGCAGCCCCGCCGGCGUGCGGCGGGAGGGACGCGAAUGCUCGGAAGAGCCGUCCCACGUGCUUUCGGGGAAACGGCCCUGGAGCGAGAAGGAGCAGAAUUGGGAGGAAACCGAAAAGCGAAAGGAGCUCUUGGGCCUCCUGAACAUGUGAGGUACAGAAAAAUCCCUUGGAUUUGCCAGAAGCAUACUCAUUCCUUAUGGGUUUGGGGGGCCUUCCUUGCUGCCUUAAGAUUUGAGGAAGUCCACUGGAAGCUGCCUUCUUUCAACAUUUAUUCCAGAUAAAGGCACUGAUACUCAGUACAGUUGGGUCAAAGUGAGUCGUUGUGAAAAAGAAUUUGACAAGGGAUUAGUAAAAUGGACAUCUGUGAUUGGUCUGGGAUGGGUGGGGGAGGAGUGAAAAUGUGAUUAAUAUUUUAAAAAUAAAUCUACAUUUUAUUUCAUUAAAUGCUACUUAUUUGCUGCCAGUUGUAAGAAAAAAAAAUAUUCCGGGGGAGGAUUCGGUAGAAAUUUGGUGAUCUAAAUGCCCUUCCCAUUCACUGUACUUCAUCUCAUGUGGCACACCUUAGCCUCAACUAAACAGGUAUCUCCAGGAAUCCUCUGACAAAAUCCCAUUACUCUUACAAAGAUGAUUUCUAGAAUGCAAGACUCACACUCUUGGGAAGUAACUCUAUACUGUAAUCAAGAACUUGGUUUUGAUUUUCUGAAUCUAAGUGCAAAUAGCCACUUGCUGAACUCUUCUUCUUACUAUAUGGCCUCUGUGUCUGUUAGAGAGAGCAAACUACAUAUGUCCUUGUAUCGUCUGCCCUCAAAUAACGAUAAUGGUUGAGAUCACAUAUGAAACCUCGGCAUUCUGCUACCAGGCUCCAUAUUGAGAUGUUUUUAAACAUUUUGCUGAGUAAGAGUG
This is a long non-coding RNA of Mirounga angustirostris (Northern elephant seal), 2994 nucleotides long. RefSeq lists it as uncharacterized. The transcript is spliced from 4 exons. NCBI's taxonomy places the organism in Eukaryota, Metazoa, Chordata, Mammalia, Carnivora, Phocidae. The record is from RefSeq and is a predicted model, not a curated record.